GUCAGUUGUUGUGUCGCAGCUGCUUUUCUCCGUCUGAAGGUUCCACUAAGGUUAAUGUCGUAGCCAGAGACGCCGCCCUCGUUGACUCACUGGUGGUGAUUUUAUUUCUGUACUUCAGUAAAUAAACCAGUCUGCAGUGUUUUCCCAAAGUCUGCCUACAUGUGUUCUCUGCUCUAAGUUUUCCAGUUUACCUGAAGGCUGGACAAAUCCUACAACUCCAGUCAGAGAUCAUGAUAACGACAACUGAUAAUGGUGUCAAUCAGAGAUCCUUCAUCCAUUAUUUAUCCACUGCUUGAUCCUUUAGAUCCAUCCAGCUGAGAGUAACACAACAUAAGAGUGGAUGAGUGGAGGAGCAGCUGAUGUUUUUACAGUACAUAUGAUGAACAGGAGGACUUCAGUGGAUGUGUGCUAAAUGAUGUGUUUCCUCUGCAGGUGAAGGUAGAAAGUGUGUGAGCUGAUGUGAGUUCAGCACCAUGGAUCAGUGUGAGGGCUCUCGGAUCUCUGUGAUCAGGAGAAUCAUACCAGAGCUCAGAGCUCAGAGGAAUGAACCUGAACCUGCAUCCAGCUGUGUGUCCUUUAGGAGCGACUGGUCCAAGGAGAUUGGUGAUUCUUUCAAACAAGAACGUUCAUCACCAGCAUCCAGCUGUGUGUCCUUUAAGAGCGACUGGUCCAAGGAGAUUGGUGAUUCUUUCAAACAAGAACGUUCAUCACCAGCAUCCAGCUGUGUGUCCUUUAAGAGCGACUGGUCCAAGGAGAUUG
Stegastes partitus (bicolor damselfish) is the source of this 759-nucleotide long non-coding RNA. RefSeq lists it as uncharacterized. The transcript is spliced from 3 exons. NCBI's taxonomy places the organism in Eukaryota, Metazoa, Chordata, Actinopteri, Pomacentridae. The record is from RefSeq and is a predicted model, not a curated record.